RNAcentral lists this long non-coding RNA (1229 nucleotides) under Pandoravirus neocaledonia. RNAcentral describes it as "hypothetical ncRNA". The record is from RNAcentral.
GAGGAACGCAUAGGCGGCCCUCAUGGUGAUGGCGUAAUCGCCGGCGAGGCGGCCCGGAUCGGCGGCGCGCUCCAAGGUGUCCAGUUCUGCGCCGCGCGUGGCGACCGUAUCCCGGAUGAACCCGAUCGCCCUGUCGUAUUCGACGCGCAGCGGGUCGUCGGCGGGCAGUGCGUCGCGCUCGUCGGCCAGCUGCGCGAUCCUGUCGUUGCCCUGUUCGACGAUAGAGGCCACCGGCGCCGCCUGGCCCUGAAUCACGGCCGCGGCGCCGCGCGCAGCCUCGUCCGUAAAGCGAUCAAACGUGGGCUGCGCCGCGGCGGCAUAGUAGGGCUGUGGCGUGUCGGCGGUCGACACGCCGGCCUGCUGGCGCAGAUCGACCAGCGCCAAGAGACCCAUCGUAUACCAGCCGGUGGCGCUCAUGGCAUCGGCCACCGCCGUGCCGGCCGUGGUGAUUGCCACGGCGCCGAGGGCCUGCUGGAGGUCGCUCACCUGGUUGAGGAAGCGCCGUUCGGUCUCGACGACCUGUGCCUCGGCGCGCACGGCGCGCUCGAUCGCGUCGGCGAGCGCACGACGCAGAUCGACGACUUCGGCCUCUAGCCGCUGGUAGGUGGUGGUCUCACGGAUCUGGGCCUCGGUGAGGGCGAGGGCGCCUCCGCGCAGCGCCAUGUAGGCCCGGUAGCGCGGGUCAUUCUCGACGUUGCCAAACUCGCUCUCGGCCAACUGGCGUUCGAGUGCGUUCAUCUGGGUCCUGAGCCGUCGGCGCUCGGCGUCGGUGCGCGCGAGGUCGGCGCGCAACCUCUCGGCAUCGGCCGUCACUUCGGCCAGGCGCAAAUUCACCUGACUUUCGGCGAGCACGCGCGCGCGGUCGAGUGACAGGCGCUCGCGCACGUCGGCGGGCAGCGCCUCUAGAACGGCCUCGGGCAGGAAUCGCGGCGUGCCCGACAUCUCCUCUUGCGUGGCGCCCUCCAGCAGCAGUUGCUCGGCGCCAGGCUGUUCUUCCUCUUCCAUGCCGACGGCGGGCGAGGUUUCAACUUCUUCGCGCCGUCGCCGCCUCGUGGGGCGUUGCUCCUCGGCCUCCAUUCUUUUUUUUUUUCCUUUGCUUUUUUUUAAUCACUCGGCCGUCCUCUGUGCCUGUGCUCUCGUCUAUACACACGCCCGUUCCUCUUUCCGGUUCGUCUUGGGUCCUUUUCUUCUCCUUCCUUUUCUCUCUCUCUCUCUCUCUCUCUCUCUCU